Molecule: long non-coding RNA, 783 nt
Organism: Piliocolobus tephrosceles (Ugandan red Colobus)
Lineage: Eukaryota; Metazoa; Chordata; Mammalia; Primates; Cercopithecidae
Exons: 3
Source: RefSeq, a predicted model, not a curated record
CCGCGAGUGCCGCGGAGAGGGAAGGGAGCGGAGCGCCAGACCUAGGGGCUUUGCAACCCUUGCCUUUGCCGCAGACAACUUAGCAUGUGCCCCCAACUCUUCCAGAAUCAACAUUUCUAAGUACCUAGAAGAAACAUAUUAGAGUGGGUCCAGUCCGUAUUUCAGGCAUGCCUGCCACUUCAAGGACUCUAGAAAAUUCCAUUCAUACAUCAAAUUUUAUUGAGCACCAACAAGGCACAAGAUACACAAGAGCAGAUGAAAUGGGUGCUGACCUUAAGAGACCUAAAUCUUUGAAGGAAAUAAAAUCUGUAAAAAUAAUCACAGAAUAAUAUGUGAAAGGCCUUAAAUGUGGUAUAGAACGCCAAGGGGCCAAAUAAGGUUUCAGUAUCAGGGACUUGUGGAAGAUUCCCAGACGAGAACGGACUGGUCACAUGGAGGGACAUAUUCCAAGCAGAAAGAACAGUAUCGGAUGAAAAUAACGGGGCAUAUGGAGUAAUAAACUAGUCUAGGUACUGGACUAAUGUAGGAAAAAAAACAUGAAAUCGGGCCUACAGAAAGACUUUGUAUCUGAUUAAAUUUCAUAAUAUAAGAAGAAGAAUGAAAUUUAGCUGUAAUUAUUUAUUAAAAGUAUCCUUUUAAAGAGCUUAGAAAAUGUUAUCUGUCAAAUGUCAGGGAUUUUCUUCUAUUGCUAUUUUGAGAAGGUAUCUUAAUGUUCAGAUGUUCAGAUUUCUAUUAAGAAUAAAUGACCUCAUCCUGCUUCACAUUCUACCUCCCAGAGACACA